Molecule: long non-coding RNA, 2020 nt
Organism: Pungitius pungitius (ninespine stickleback)
Lineage: Eukaryota; Metazoa; Chordata; Actinopteri; Perciformes; Gasterosteidae
Exons: 3
Source: RefSeq, a predicted model, not a curated record
CCUUCAGCCCCCAACUGGCACUCUGUUUUCCAGCGUGCACUCUCACGGAUCAAUAACCUGUUACAUAACUUUCUGGUUUGGACCGGAGGGCAGAUUCCAGCUGACUGGAACAUGUGACAGGGCUUUGACUGUGUUGACCCACAUUUCCCCUUCCCUUUCGAAGAUCCCUCCCCUCCAUCUCGUCUUCCCACUACGUCCCUCCUUCAGCCCAAGCCCCUUCCUAACCCUUCACACCCGUCAGGGGAGCAGUCAUGGAGGCAGCCGUAGCCACGCUUGGUUUGGUCCGGCCUUACUGCAACAUGCCCGGACUUGCACCUCAUGACACAAGCGAAGAAUAGCUGCUGGCUGAGCAGCAGCUUUUGUCAAGUGACAUAACAAGGGAGUGAUUCAAGUUCAAGUCACAGUUCUCAAGUUACCAUCAUGACAAUACUGCGACUGCAUGGGUGACAAAAGCGUUUUCAUACACCACACACGCUUGUUGGGUUUUCCGGAGAGGAGGCCGAUCACAUGGAUACACAAGAGAUGCAGCAGGAGAGACACAGAAAGAAGGAAAGGCCGAGUCUUCUGGAGCGGGAAGUCACUGUAUGGUUCGUACUACACAGCACUGUUGUCCUGAAGAUGAGGGGAAACAUGAGCCCUGCUGCGCCCCCCCGGUAGCCCACCUGCUGCUCUCUGGCCCUCGUCGACUGCUGCUCUGUAAUACAGCACACUGCCUCGCACAAGGCUCCAUGGGCUGCACAGGGACAGAGAAAGAGCAAAGACUAUAGAUUGCUGUACAGGCUGUAUAUCACAGAUAUUUCAAAUGUGCCACUUUGGUUUAUUUCAAGCAAAAUAAGCCAGGUUUCUAUCCUACGCUCUCGUCUCGAGGGAUGCUUUGUUGUUUUACUUGGCGUGCUAUUUGGAUUGCGACCAGGCAGACCAGGCUAACUGUCAUGUUACAUUUGCUCUUCACGUGUUAGCCGACUCCAAUUUAGCCCGAAGGAUAGGUGGUUACCCGCCAGCAACCUCUUUGCGCAGAGUAAAGGACAUGCGUGCACAUGCAACAUGUGCAGACUAGGAUGCACACCCUCCCACAGCCUUAUUUCCCUCGCUCCUGUCUCCUUCUCUCACUUUCAGCAACCACCAGAAAGAAACUAGCACUUAUUAGCUGGUGGAUACGCUCAACUAGAUCGCUCCUUUGCCAGCAGGGAAUAGACACACCCCGCACGUAAUGUGACAGUUAAGGAAUUUUAAAAAUGGCAAUUUUGCUGCAGGCUAGCCACACAUAUUUGCAGCCUGAGUCCAAGACACUACAUCACUUGCUGUGGAAAUGUUGGAGAGACUAUGAGAUUUAAAACUCAAAUUGAGUUGAAUGAAUCUGUUAAUCGGCUCAGAUUUCAACUAAAAUGUAAUCUACUGAAUUUACUAAAGCUGACUUUUACCAACCUGCUCCUUUUUCAAGUGUGCCACACACAGAAAUUACAUUUUUAAUCUACAUUGUAUUUAUUAUUCUUUGAAUGUAAUCUAACAAUGCAAAUGUUGUGCAAUUCUUGGAUUAGCCCCUGUAAUGUCACAGAAUAGGUUACUCUUUGCAGCAUUGUUGUAGGGUUUGAUAGAUGGAAACUUGAUUAUGCCGCUGUUUAUUAGACCUUAUUCCUCCCACAAUAGCCCAAUUCCCUGUAACACUUUGUUUUUCUUUUAGCUUUUAAGAUUUUUAUUGACCUCAUUUUGGUUUGGCAUUAUCAGAUUACAAAAAAAUGUCCCACGUCUUUGUCCGUCAUCAAGCACUAAACCAUCCCUUAAACUCAAAGCAUACAAAAAUGAGAUAUCUCUUAAAUAGUCUUAUAGUAGUCUGUUUCUUUUAGAUGACAUUUGGUGACGUUCCCUAAUGUUCAGAGAUGAUUAAACAUGUUUAUAUUUUAGGGUUCAGGUGAGCACCCACACAGAGGCUCAGACUUCAUUCACAUGAUGUGUUAUCAUGCAAAUGAGCACCAACUCCCUCUGUUCUGUUGUGCUGUUCCUGAUAACACAUUUCCUUAGC